AAGUCGUAACAAGGUCUCCGUAGGUGAACCUGCGGAGGGAUCAUUAACACGUUACCCAUAACGUUUUAUUACAAACCAACCGCGAGAAACAAUUGAAUCAACAACACCCGACCUAAGAAAGAGAAUGUCUGUAUGAAUUGCACGGAGUGAUGAGUGUUUUGUUUGUUUCCAUUUAUUUGGAAACAAAUGAAACACGGUGCUUUCAGACUAGUAGUGCUCGACAUUACAAGACCUCUCUCUUUUAGGCUUUUAUCAACUUUGUUCCCUUCAUCACUGGAGCUAACACACCCCUUUCACCCCUUUAUAACUAACUAGACUGAUAUUUUAUAACUGUGUGUAGUUGAUUCUACUCAUAGCUUAUGAAUGAUUUUAAUCAAAUAUCUAAGCACAACUCUUAGCAACGGAUAUCUUGGUUCUC
Molecule: unclassified non-coding RNA, 418 nt
Filed under: fungal sp.
Lineage: Eukaryota; Fungi
Description: partial internal transcribed spacer region
Rfam family: Eukaryotic small subunit ribosomal RNA (bases 1-46)
Source: RNAcentral